GCCUCCGUAGCAUAGUGGUAGUGCGCCUGACUUGUAAUCAGGCGGUCGUGAGUUCAAAUCUCACCGGAGGCU
This 72-nucleotide transfer RNA is filed under the name Candidatus Woesearchaeota archaeon. RNAcentral's name for it is "tRNA-Thr". It matches the Rfam family "tRNA". From Rfam's summary of the family: Transfer RNA (tRNA) molecules are approximately 80 nucleotides in length. The record is from RNAcentral. Lineage: Archaea; Nanobdellati; Candidatus Woesearchaeota.